Molecule: non-coding RNA, 109 nt
Filed under: Johnsonella ignava
Lineage: Bacteria; Bacillati; Bacillota; Clostridia; Lachnospirales; Lachnospiraceae
Also listed under: 1 other name
Description: TPP sequence
Rfam family: TPP riboswitch aptamer (THI element)
About the family: Vitamin B(1) in its active form thiamin pyrophosphate (TPP) is an essential coenzyme that is synthesised by coupling of pyrimidine and thiazole moieties in bacteria. The previously detected thiamin-regulatory element, thi box was extended, resulting in a new, highly conserved RNA secondary structure, the THI element, which is widely distributed in eubacteria and also occurs in some archaea.
Source: RNAcentral
AUCAUUCUAUAAGGGAGCUUGUAAAGCAGGCUGAGAGGGAGUAAUCAAACUUCGACCUUUAUAACCUGAUUUGGGUAAUGCCAACGUAGGGAUUUGUAAGCUAAUUCCG